Molecule: ribosomal RNA, 281 nt
Filed under: unidentified marine bacterioplankton
Lineage: Bacteria
Description: partial 16S ribosomal RNA
Rfam family: Bacterial small subunit ribosomal RNA
Source: RNAcentral
AUGCAAGUCGAACGAUGAAGUUCCUUCGGGAAUGGAUUAGUGGCGAACGGGUGAGGAACACGUGAGAAACCUGCCUUUCACUCUGGGAUAACACCGGGAAACCGGUGCUAAUACCGGAUACUCCAUCUUGGCGGCAUCGCCGAGCUGGGAAAAAUUUUGAUGAAAGAUGGUCUCGCGGCCUAUCAGCUAGUUGGUGGGGUAAAGGCUCACCAAGGCGACGACGGGUAGCCGGCCUGAGAGGGCGACCGGCCACACUGGGACUGAGACACGGCCCAGACUCC